RNAcentral lists this ribosomal RNA (477 nucleotides) under uncultured bacterium. RNAcentral describes it as "partial 16S ribosomal RNA". It matches the Rfam family "Bacterial small subunit ribosomal RNA", at positions 30 to 507 of the family's 1533-position model. The record is from RNAcentral.
AUUGAACGCUGGCGGCAUGCCUUACACAUGCAAGUCGAACGGUAACAGGUUAAGCUGACGAGUGGCGAACGGGUGAGUAAUGUAUCGGAACGUGCCCAGUCGUGGGGGAUAACUGCUCGAAAGAGCAGCUAAUACCGCAUACGACCUGAGGGUGAAAGCAGGGGAUCGCAAGACCUCGCGCGAUUGGAGCGGCCGAUAUCAGAUUAGGUAGUUGGUGAGGUAAAGGCUCACCAAGCCGACGAUCUGUAGCUGGUCUGAGAGGACGACCAGCCACACUGGGACUGAGACACGGCCCAGACUCCUACGGGAGGCAGCAGUGGGGAAUUUUGGACAAUGGGCGCAAGCCUGAUCCAGCCAUGCCGCGUGCGGGAAGAAGGCCUUCGGGUUGUAAACCGCUUUUGUCAGGGAAGAAAAGGUUCUGGCUAAUACCUGGGACUCAUGACGGUACCUGAAGAAUAAGCACCGGCUAACUACGUG